GAUGAACGCUGGCGGCGUGCCUAACACAUGCAAGUCGAACGAAGCACCUUACCUGAUUCUUCGGAUGAAAGUUUGGUGACUGAGUGGCGGACGGGUGAGUAACGCGUGGGUAACCUGCCCUGUACAGGGGGAUAACAGCUGGAAACGGCUGCUAAUACCGCAUAAGCGCACGAGGAGACAUCUCCUUGUGUGAAAAACUCCGGUGGUACAGGAUGGGCCCGCGUCUGAUUAGCUGGUUGGCAGGGUAACGGCCUACCAAGGCAACGAUCAGUAGCCGGUCUGAGAGGAUGAACGGCCACAUUGGAACUGAGACACGGUCCAAACUCCUACGGGAGGCAGCAGUGGGGAAUAUUACACAAUGGGGGAAACCCUGAUGCAGCAACGCCGCGUGAGUGAAGAAGUAUUUCGGUAUGUAAAGCUCUAUCAGCAGGGAAGAUAAUGACGGUACCUGACUAAGAAGCUCCGGCUAAAUACGUG
Molecule: ribosomal RNA, 477 nt
Filed under: uncultured bacterium
Lineage: Bacteria
Description: partial 16S ribosomal RNA
Rfam family: Bacterial small subunit ribosomal RNA
Source: RNAcentral